This 337-nucleotide unclassified non-coding RNA is filed under the name soil metagenome. RNAcentral describes it as "partial contains 5.8S ribosomal RNA, internal transcribed spacer 2, and large subunit ribosomal RNA". The stretch from base 1 to 120 matches the Rfam family "5.8S ribosomal RNA", at positions 35 to 154 of the family's 154-position model. The record is from RNAcentral.
GAUGAAGAACGCAGCGAAAUGCGAUAAGUAAUGUGAAUUGCAGAAUUCAGUGAAUCAUCGAAUCUUUGAACGCACAUUGCGCCCGCCAGUAUUCUGGCGGGCAUGCCUGUUCGAGCGUCAUUUCAACCAUCAAGCCCCCGGGCUUGUGUUGGGGUCCUGCGGCUGCCGCAGGCCCUGAAAAGCAGUGGCGGGCUCGCUGUCACACCGAGCGUAGUAGAUUUUAUCUCGCUCAGGGCGUGCUGCGGGUUCCGGCCGUUAAACCACCUUCAUAACCCAAGGUUGACCUCGGAUCAGGUAGGAAGACCCGCUGAACUUAAGCAUAACAAUAAGCGGAGGA